This 497-nucleotide ribosomal RNA is filed under the name uncultured bacterium. RNAcentral describes it as "partial 16S ribosomal RNA". It matches the Rfam family "Bacterial small subunit ribosomal RNA", at positions 28 to 507 of the family's 1533-position model. The record is from RNAcentral.
GAUGAACGCUGGCGGCGUGCCUAAUACAUGCAAGUCGAGCGAACAGAUGAGGAGCUUGCUCCUCUGACGUUAGCGGCGGACGGGUGAGUAACACGUGGAUAACCUACCUAUAAGACUGGGAUAACUUCGGGAAACCGGAGCUAAUACCGGAUAAUAUAUUGAACCGCAUGGGUCAAUAGUGAAAGACGGUUUUGCUGUCACUUAUAGAUGGAUCUGCGCCGCAUUAGCGAGUUGGUAAGGUAACGGCUUACCAAGGCAACGAGGCGUAGCCGACGUGAGAGGGUGAUCGGCCACACUGGAACUGAGACACGGUCCAGACUCCUACGGGAGGCAGCAGUAGGGAAUCGUCCGCAAUGGGCGAAAGCUUGACGGAGCAGCGCCGAGUGAGUGAUGAAGGUCUUCGGAUCGUAAAACUCUGUUAUUAGGGAAGAACCACUGUGUAAGUAACUAUGCACGUCUUGACGGUACCUAAUCAGAAAGCCACGGCUAACUACGUG